Molecule: long non-coding RNA, 1813 nt
Filed under: Drosophila guanche
Lineage: Eukaryota; Metazoa; Arthropoda; Insecta; Diptera; Drosophilidae
Source: RNAcentral
CCACAAAUGCUAUUUUAUUCAAUAUAUUUUACACACACAGAGACACAUAAAUUGCACUCCCAUAUACUCCCAUGCAAACAUUUUUUAAUCUAUGCUUUUAUCAUUUUCCAUUCGCCACUCUCCAUUUUGCUUUCGUUUCAUUUUAAUAUCUAUUUAUUUGAAUGUUCUUAUGUGCAUAACGUUUUUACAAUUACAAUUACAAUGCUGCAGUCAGUUAAAAAUCGUAAACACAAAAAAAAAAACAAAAGCCUAAAAAAUUAUUCCAGUUUUGUGCCAAAACUUCCACUUUGCUCCUUUGUUCUCUGUAGUUUUUCCCGCUGAUACUUUCAGUAUUUAUGUACGUGUGUGUGAGUGUAUUUAUUUAUAUAUUUAUAUAAAAAAAAAUUAUCAUACAUUUACUUAAUCUACGCAAUGCUGGCUUAUAGUUUAUACAAAUAGUUUUUCCACUUUUCCAUUUCGUGUUUCCGUUUUCGAUUCUCUUUUUUAUUCUUUUGCUUCUCUUAAUUUGUAUAAUUUAUGUUGGUAAAAUCGCUGGAUUCCUUGCUUACUUGCCUAAAAAAUGGUAGUUCAGGGUUCAGGGUUCAGGGUUCAGGGUUCAGGGCUUAUAACAAGCAAAAAGCAAAGCAAAAACAAUGAACUUAUCGUGGUUCUGGGUUCGUCAGUGGCAUGUUCAAUCGCAGCAACGGCUUGGCUACAGAUGCACUUUACAGAGGUUUUCUGUUGCCCUUUUUAGCUGUUUCCCUGCUCAGGCUGAUAAGGGUUCGACUCCUGCCAUUCGCAACCUUUCUUCUGUUCGUUCUGUUCCCUUUUUCCGGCUUGCCUUUAAUCACUCUAAUGAUUUGAACUUUUGCAAAGAGAAAGGAAAUUGCACCGCUGCACCAUCGUCAUCAUCCACCUCCUCGACAUGGCACGUAGCUGUCUGUUUGCUGCUCUUUAAAUUCAAUCAAUCAAAUGGUUUUUCCCACCUCACAAAUCCCUCGCCCACUCAUUGCCAUUGUCAUCUUUUAUUUUUUGCCCAACUCCCAACUCCCAGCGAUGGCCAUGGCCAUUGGCAUUUUAUUUGUAUUUUCGCUUUGGCCCAUCCGCACAUCUGUGACAAUAUUUACACCAUCGAAAGCACUCAGCCCACGUGGCUCAUCCUGGCCCUAAGCCAGCCACAUUACGGUGACCAUGCUAAUUGUGGACUGACAGCUUCGAGAGACCUCCCCUGACACAACCAUCAAGGAGAGGAGGCACGGAGAGUGCCGAAAAAGUCAUCAACAAGCGGGCAAAUCUGUGGCCAGCUAAUUUAUCUAAUUGAAAAGGAUUUGGCUAGCAGCUGAGGUAACAGAUUGCUGAAGGGUUUGCCUUAAAGGUGAACCAAAACCCGCAAUGUGGUUGGUUUUUGAUGUACCCGUCACAGCAGAGGACACAAAUUAAUGUCAUAAAAUCAUUUAGCGUUGCAAAAGGACAUGGGGGACACAACUAAAAGCGAGAGAGGGAAACAAAGAGGGCAAAGGAAAAGCGGAAAUGGACGCUUCAAAAUCACUUAAAAAACUAUUUUCACGCAAAUUGCUUCGCUGCUCACGUCAGGAGUUGCAGUCCGAGUACGAGUACGAGUACGAGUCCGAGGACACAGGACACAGGACCAUGGCCUGACAGCGAGACAGGCAGAGACUGCCAGAGGGAGAGAGCACGUGCCUGUGAUGGAUGGACUCUCUGGUCGCGACAUUCCCGUGGAAGUGGACCACGUUCGUAAUGCAUGUAAAUGAAGAAGUUUCUGUGCUGCAACUGGCAGUGGGAGCGCCCGGAGCCGGCAGCCAGUUGGAGUCCG